The submitters of this non-coding RNA (89 nucleotides) gave its source as unclassified sequences. The record is from Rfam.
CCCAUCAAGGGUAAGCCCGGCAAAAUCCGGGGGAGCGAAGCUAAGGGAUCUGAGACGGUUAAUCUGCUAUGGUAGCCCGGCUGCUGGGA